CCCUUAGAUGUUCUGGGCUGAACGCGCGCUACACUGAAGCUAUCAACACGUUUUCCCUCCCUGAGAAGGGCGGGUAACCUUUUGAAUCAGCUUCGUGGUAGGGAUCGGGGCUUGCAAUUGUUCCCCGUGAACCAGGAAUUCCUAGUAGACGCGAGUCAUAAGCUCGCAUCGAUUAAGUCCCUGCCCUUUGUACACACCGCCCGUCGCUACUACCGAUUGAACGUUUUAGUGAGGCAUUUGGACCGACGCAUCUCAGUUUAACCGCUGGUUUGUGUUGGAAAGACUUCCAAACUUGAGCGUUUAGAGGAAGUAAAAGUCGUAACA
Molecule: ribosomal RNA, 324 nt
Filed under: uncultured eukaryote
Lineage: Eukaryota
Description: partial 18S ribosomal RNA
Rfam family: Eukaryotic small subunit ribosomal RNA
Source: RNAcentral